AAUCAACGCUGGCGGCGUGCCUAACACAUGCAAGUCGAACGCGAAAGCCCGCAAGGGUAAGUAGAGUGGCGCACGGGUGAGUAACACGUGGACAACCUGCCUUCGAGUGGGGAAUAACCUUCCGAAAGGAGGGCUAAUACCGCAUAACACCUCGGGACACAAGUUCUGGGGUUGAAAAGAGCAAUUUGCUCGAAGAGGGGUUCGCGCCUGAUUAGCUAGUUGGUGAGGUAACGGCUCACCAAGGCUUCGAUCAGUAGCCGUCCUGAGAGGGAGCACGGCCACACUGGAACUGAGACACGGUCCAGACUCCUACGGGAGGCAGCAGUGGGGAAUUUUGGCAAUGGGCGAAAGCCUGACCAAGCAACGCCGCGUGGGUGAUGAAGUAUCUUGGUACGUAAACCCUUUCGGCAGGGACGAACCUAAUGACGGUACCUGCGGAAGAA
This 443-nucleotide ribosomal RNA is filed under the name uncultured bacterium. RNAcentral describes it as "bacterial SSU rRNA". It matches the Rfam family "Bacterial small subunit ribosomal RNA", at positions 32 to 489 of the family's 1533-position model. The record is from RNAcentral.